AUGUUAGGACAACCAAUUAACCUUCUUAGUUGGAAUGUAAGGGGAUUAAACUGCCCAAACCGACGGGCCACUGUUCACGAGACUAUCGCUGCAACUUCGUGUCAUUUGGCUUGCUUACAGGAGACCAAACUUGAGGUGUUGGACCAGUUUACGGCUUCCUUCCUGGGAGGGGCCAGGCUCAAAAGCUUUGCCCACCGGCCGGCACUGGGCACUAGGGGCGGCAUCCUGCUGCUUUGGGAUGACGGCGUUGUGGCUGUGUCUGAUAUUGUGCUCUCGGUGUACUGCCUAUCGGCCACAGUCCUCAUCCGCGAGUCUGGGGUUUCCUUCAAGAUCACGGUGGUCUAUGGCCCUACUGCUUCCUCUUGCAAAAACGCCUUCUUCGCGGAGCUCCUGGCUUAA
This 399-nucleotide ribosomal RNA is filed under the name Triticum aestivum (bread wheat). RNAcentral's name for it is "partial small subunit ribosomal RNA". The record is from RNAcentral. Lineage: Eukaryota; Viridiplantae; Streptophyta; Magnoliopsida; Poales; Poaceae.